This is a long non-coding RNA of Perca flavescens (yellow perch), 980 nucleotides long. RefSeq lists it as uncharacterized. The transcript is spliced from 3 exons. The record is from RefSeq and is a predicted model, not a curated record. Lineage: Eukaryota; Metazoa; Chordata; Actinopteri; Perciformes; Percidae.
UUUGCUGGGGACAGGUGUGAGUGUAACAGACCCAGGGUAACGUGUGUAACAGUUAGGGAGUCUGUUGCUGAACCCAGAGUUAGUGAUGUUGGAUGUACAGUAGGCCUACACUGUCCUUCCGUAUUGGUACUGAUUAAAGAAGAUUAGGCUAAAUUGAAGCCAGCAGGACAGGACUGGCGAACGCUACCAAUCAAGAAAGGACAUUGGUAGCCUACUUUGGCCUAGCAAACACACCCAAGAUGGAUCCACAGGUGUACUGGGUGGCAAAAUGCUAACUAUUGAAAUGCACACGGUCGAUUCUCCAGCGGCGUGUUCUACAUUUACUUUUACCUUCACUCAGGUUUGCGAGGCCUUUCUGCUGUUUGUGACAAUAAUCCCUGAAAUGACUGUAGAGCCUCUUUCAGCUAAAAAUUUUUGAACAAUGUGGAAGCGCAGUGGGACUGAGGUGCCGAGUGGACUGGUUAUACUGGGACAGAGAGGCUGAGUGGACUAGUUAAAUGCUUUGAGAAUGGACGAGCGGAGAAAUGGAAGAAGGCCUUCAGAAUGUCGUUCAGACAGGGCCGGUUGUUCCCCUAUCAAUACGACAUCCCAGGGUGAAGCCUUGAAUCGGACAAGAGACAGAAGUCACUGAUGGGAUUGCUGCUAGAACCGCAGGCGGGAGGCCAGGCAGGCUAACAAAUGAAGAAAGAAUGGCUGAUCAAGCGCAGCAGGGGAAGAAGGCAGGCUGGGAGGCCAAAGGGAUUUGUGACUCUGUUUAUGUGUGUGUGUACGAGCAUGUGUGCAUGUCUGGGCAUAGUAGUCAUAAGAUUUUGCUGUUUUCUGACUGGAAAAAAAGAAGCUUUAUAUGAGGAUGCACACUGCCUUCAGGCCAACUGUGUAGAGUCCAGGAAAAAGUUUUUCUCUGUUAACCAAAGUGAACAUACUGUAAUUACUAAGCUGCUUCUAGAUGAAAGGCAAAGUUGUGUGCGAUUGAUAUUUUA